This 467-nucleotide ribosomal RNA is filed under the name uncultured bacterium. RNAcentral's name for it is "partial 16S ribosomal RNA". It matches the Rfam family "Bacterial small subunit ribosomal RNA", at positions 28 to 506 of the family's 1533-position model. The record is from RNAcentral.
GACGAACGCUGGCGGCGUGCUUAACACAUGCAAGUCGAACGGAAAGGCCCUGCUUUUGUGGGGUGCUCGAGUGGCGAACGGGUGAGUAACACGUGAGUAACCUGCCCUUGACUUUGGGAUAACUUCAGGAAACUGGGGCUAAUACCGGAUAGGAGCUCCUGCUGCAUGGUGGGGGUUGGAAAGUUUCGGCGGUUGGGGAUGGACUCGCGGCUUAUCAGCUUGUUGGUGGGGUAGUGGCUUACCAAGGCUUUGACGGGUAGCCGGCCUGAGAGGGUGACCGGCCACAUUGGGACUGGGAUACGGCCCAGACUCAUUCGGGAGGCAGCAGUGGGGAAUAUUGCACAAUGGGCGGAAGCCGGAUGCAGCAACGCCGCGUGCGGGAUGACGGCCUUCGGGUUGGAAACCGCUUUCGCCUGUGACGAAGCGUGAGUGACGGUAAUGGGUAAAGAAGCACCGGCAAACUACGU